UAAUACAUUACAACUUUCAGCGGUGGAUGUCUAGGUUCCCACAACGAUGAAGAACGCAGCGAAAUGCGAUACGUAAUGCGAAUUGCAAGACCUCGUGAAUCAUUAAGAUUUUGAACGCACAUUGCGCUUUCGGGAUUUUCCCGGUAGCAUGCUUGUCUGAGUGUCUGUGGA
RNAcentral lists this ribosomal RNA (171 nucleotides) under Pseudo-nitzschia brasiliana. Its description in RNAcentral is "5.8S ribosomal RNA". It matches the Rfam family "5.8S ribosomal RNA". From Rfam's summary of the family: 5.8S ribosomal RNA (5.8S rRNA) is a component of the large subunit of the eukaryotic ribosome. It is transcribed by RNA polymerase I as part of the 45S precursor that also contains 18S and 28S rRNA. Lineage: Eukaryota; Bacillariophyta; Bacillariophyceae; Bacillariales; Bacillariaceae. The record is from RNAcentral.